GUCACCUGCAGGAGCACAGACAGCGCGUGGGCAGCCGCACAGCUGCAGCCUGCUGUUCUUUGUGGCCCCCGCACAGCCCCCCAACCGCGGAACAGCUCCACCCAACCCUCCUGCUUCUCCAUCAGAACUUCCAUGUCUGCACGCAAAGCACACAAAGGCAGAACCAAAGUGAGAUAAUCGCACUCACAUCCUUCCGCCUCGUUUCUGGCUGCAGAGAGCUGCCAGGCGCUCAUCGGCCUUCCCCCGGUUUUAGUGCAGGGCUGGGUAGCUGCUGCUGGCUCUGCAGCCCGGCUCCACGAGUUGCCCCUGUCCUGGGGCUGGGCGCUGCAUUGCACCGUGUGCUGCUCUCGGAAAGGGAUGCUCUGCCCUCGAACCAACAGCAUGCCUGGGGCAGGGUGCUGGCCAGCCAGCAGCUGUGCCCCGGUGCUGUGGUUACGAGCACACGGCCGUCCUGAAGGCCACACGGUGCCUCUUGGGAACGAGAGGGGGAUGAUGGUCAUCAAGGGGGCAGGCUGCUGUGCCUGCGGUGCGUCCCAAAGAAACUGCGUCUGGAGGGAGAGAAAGCGGUUGUAGCUUAGCUCUGGAGACCCUUGAUGAGAGACAGGAAGGAAACGUCUUCCGUGCCGGUGCUCACUACACAUCUCCCCACAUUUGCUCUCCUGCGCACACCUCAGCCUUAGAUUCAAAUCAUCCAGGUGGACGGCGUCUGAUCUGCCUGCAGCAGAGCUCAGAGGCUCCCAUGCACUGCCUGUAACAUCGCCCUGAGCUGCAGCAGGGUUUGUGGAAAGAAACGCCACAGCCUUGUGGGGAGGCUUCAGUGAUGAAGGAUCUGACCCAGCCCUGUACAGUCCUUUGCUUCUGAAAAGAUCUGCCCAGAGCUAGGGUGGAACUCGUGGUUUCAAGUUCUGCUUUGCUUUGUCUGGGAGCAGAAAAGGCAGCUACCAUCAGUUCUUACAGAUCAAAUCGCACCUUACACUUGUUUUGUUAAAUUAAAGGGACGUUUCCAAUUUGCUGUAAGGCACAGAAUACUCCCACAGCCCACAUAAUUCCUGCAAUUCUGGUAUCUGGAGUUUGUCAGCAUCCUUGCAAGGUGUGCUGUCCUUCCAAGCAAGAGUGGAAGGCCUUUAUGGAAGCAGGUGGUGCCACCAGGAGAGGACCUUGCAAGGCUUUUCACAACUGCCAGUCAACAAUUAGCACUUUCUCCACAUAUCAGAUAUCAGCCAUCAGUUCUGCUGCAGCCCUUACAGCCCACUGGAGUCCAGUGAUGACAGACUGCUGGCUUUCUCAUCAUCUGAUUUCAGAACACUGGCACCUGUGGCCAGGUUUGGGAACUGUAGGCAAGCAAAUCUAGCUCCAAAUUUUCCCUGGGCAUAACCCUGCACGGCCCAGUUUUCUUCAGCUGUGCACCUUGAAAUAAUCCAGGACAUGACAGUGGCAAAGCCAAGGGCUUAGACUACAGCAAGCUCUUGCAGAGCAAACAUGACUGUCAAGGGGAAGCCCCACACCAAGGACUGAGCUCUGAUGUGUGUCCAGCACGUGCGCUGUCAGGAGAUGUGCAGGGGGCUCUUCACCUUCCAUGGGUGGGGGCUGUGUAACACAGAGGCUGGGGGGUUUAGGAAGAGGCACUGCUUGCAGUGCAGAAUUCACCGAGAUGUUUUUAGGUAUUUCUACACUUCCACCCAGACCCUGUUUGCUGCUUGUGCUUCUUUGCCAUGCUCCUAGCACUUCUGUGCUCGCAGCUCAGAGAACUCCUGCUCGGGAAUUAAUCUUACUUAGACAGGAGAACCUUAUGGCCCCGAAGAAGCAGACCACGCCGUGCUGCACGAGGGGACAGCGAAAGGCAGUGUUAUCAGACUGUCUUUUGGAAUGAGAAUGAGGGACCUUCUGAGGGACGGUGCCCAGGGGCUCUGUGUGAGUGCCUGGUGUGCCCCCCGCCCUUGUAGGAGAAAAAGACCCGCGGACCCGGGCAGCACGUUGGACCUCGUUUAAAUGAGCCGCAUUCGGCCACAAGCGGCGGCGUCCUGUGGUGGCCUCGAAGAACCAUCGGGGCAAGCUUCAGUUACCUGGAUCUCAGAGAAUAUCCUGAGGCUGCAUGGAGUCAUACUGCACGUGCUCUGUCUUAGGAAAGAAGCACCCGACUUACAGCAAAGUUGAAACUACAGAAAUGGGCGAGAGAUACAAAACUGCAAACUGCUCUGAGCCCUACAGGGAAUUACAGACCUCAGGGUGGAGUAGGAUGAAAAUCCCUAUGAUUGCACGGCAGCAAAGGGCAGCACUGCUUCCAGGUGCCUCCUGGCACGAGCUGUCAGCCCCACAGGACUUCACGGAGGGGCCUCAUCUCCUUAGGAGACACCCAUGGCCCAGUACUGCUCCUGGAGCCACAGACUGCCUUUAUACACCAUGGAUGAGCACAGAUGAAAAGAAGUUGUUGCCUGCCACAGAAGAGCUGUCUUGGUCACUGGUUCCAUAAGAGGCAUAAUAGCAAAACUGCAAAGACUUCAGUCUGAGGACAUUUUACUGCAGUCAAGUACUGUAGUGAAUAACCAUAAAGAAAGCACGCCAAGAAGUGAGGGAGGAGUGCUUUUAAGAGAGCCUCUCACUGCUGUCAGAAAUGCCCAUGAAUUAGUCUGUGCCUGCCAGAAGGGGGAGAACAGUGGAGGACGUUUCAAGACGUGCCUCCGGAUUCCAAAAGCCAGUGGAAUACUGCAUUUGCCCUCAAAGUUACUGCUCCAGGAGUUGCUUUGCCAUGGCAACAAAGUACAGCAGACUGCCCGUAUCCAGCUCUCCACAACCUCCUUGCUUCCCUUAAACAACACACUCACUCCCAGCAAAGGGUCACAAGGAAGCAGUGUGUGAACGUACCUGGUACACUCCUCUCGUGCUCGGGACGAUGCAGUCUCCUUGAAGAGGGAGCUGCUCUGCUUGAAAAACGGCUCAUACUUGUCAGUGCCACACGCUGGGUAAAUGCGCCGGUAGCUGCCCAGGUGGGAGUUCUCAUAGUCCUCUGCCUCUGAGAGCCAGGCUGCCUGGCUGCUCUCUGCCUCCUCAUGUCUGCAAACCAGGAGACAGCGCAGGCAGGCGGGGAGCUGCGAUGGGAGGCUCCAGGUAUUUUACAAUGGACAUAGCUCGAUUUUUGCUCCUGUCUUUCCCUGUCUGAGAGCCCGUUUCACACAUGUUUGCUGCUGGGAACCAACAGUUCCCACUUGUUCAUUCUCUACAUGGCGAAUGCUGCUGGAGCAUUUUCAGAUGCCUCCCCUGCUGCCGGGAUCACACCCUGCCCCUCAGCCUUUUCACCCAACUAAGCUGGUUGCCAGAGUUCAAUUACAGUGUUUGUGUUCAAGGAGCGUUUGCCACUCCGCACUCAGCUGGGAGCUUUCAGCCAGCAGGGAGCUGGGAGCAGUGGAGGCUGCAGGGACAUGAAGUGUACGGAGUAACGAGCUCAGCUUCCCCAGCCUGCAGUUUUCUCAGGUUUCCUAAUUGAAAUGGGAGCUGGAGGCAGUUCCUGCCUUGCCCUGCGCAGCAGGAAAAGCCCGGGCAGCAGCCUCAUCUAAAAUGGCCUCGAGAGGCCGUGCAGAUUAAUAAAUCAUGAAAGGGCAUGCAGACAAAGAAGGGUGGGAAAAUGCUCAACCCUGGGAAAGGAAUCCUGCUUUGGAGAAGAGCCCUGUGCCCCGCGGUGCUCCUGGUCCCUGAAGCAGUGCUAUGACCCGUCCUGUGAGAGUCACUGCGAGACCAGCAACGUACUGCUGCAGCCUGACAGCGCUGAAGGACACGAGGACAUGCAGCUGUAAGGGGAAGCCCAGGGAUCAUAGCACAGGGAGUCCCAGAUCUCUUCUGAGAUCAGUUCUGGACAGGCUCUCCCUAUCCAGAGUGCAGAUGGCUUGGGUGGGCUCUGUCAGAGGCUGCACAGAGCCACGGCUUCAGGUAGCACAAGUGUCAGAGCCUGUCUUCUCCUCACAGGGACCUGCAGUGCCAUUGGGAAGGCAGUACCUGGACACACGAGGAGACCGAUGAGCCUGCAGGAGUCGUUCCUUUGCCUGCUGUUUGUCUUCCUCCAUCGCUUUCCUUUUGCUACAGGCGUGCACAUUUAUCAAGUUGAUGGUGUCAAAGAGAAGAGCAUCCUUCACCUCACGGUCCAGGUUUCUCCUUCUGGGAUCGAUGUACCUCAUGGUGGCAAACCGGGCCAGACCCUCCUUGUAGACAAAAAUCCUCAGUGGGUCACAAGAUGUGACCAGCACAUAGACACGCAUGUCAAACUUAAAGCCAUCAAUAAGGAAAGGCUGCGAGGAAAAAGGCAGGAGCAAGCAUGAGAUAAGGGAACAUUGCUGGGUGUGCUGCUGAGUCCCCAAGGCCAGCUGCUCCACCUGCACUGCCUGCGCCACUUCCAGCAGCCCAGCAGCGAGGAGGAAGGCAAGCUGCGCCCCUGGCUUCAAGAGACACGGGGCAAAGGACGAGGAGCAGGCAGGGUGCGGGAAGAGCAAGGGAGCUGCAGUCCUUCCCCGUGCCUCAGGUCAUCCCCCUACCUUAGAGAUAUACUGCUGACAGAUCAUGUGCUCUCCGUGCCUGAUCUCCCCUGGGUCGCGUGUUAUGAAGAUGCCUCGGCCUUGGCAGCCGCUGUCGGGCUUGCAGAUGAACGUUCUGUUCUUCCUCCUGCGCCUGUAGGCCUGGAAGUCCCCGUAGCUGUGCAGAGGGGGUGACUGUUACAGGCUGCAGAACACGAGCCCCUCACUUCUCUGCUAACACUCAGACAUUCAAACUACUGUGCUAACAACAGACCUAAGUUCUGCAGCGGGGAAAUGGUACAGCAAUUGCUGGCUUACAUCAGGAAUACAUUAUUUAGUCCUUGAGCAACCUGACAAAGCUCUUCCAGUUCCAGCUUUUUCUUGCACACAUCUCUACCUCUACCAGGAGUUUCAUGGGAAACAUUCAGCACUAUUUGUACAGAAGCCAGUGAGGAUUUUGGCUCUGCUGCUGCAGAGGGAUCGGGGAAAAAUAAAACACUGCCUACAAAGGAGGAGGAGGUCACAAGCUCUUACAUCCCCUUUUGUUCCAGCUCAUCAGCAAAUGGUCAGCAGGCUGCAGCCAGGAUGCUGUGAGCAGGGUGCAGAGGCUCACAGGCUGCGCUCACGUAUCGCAUCACCUGCUUGGUCUGCAAAAGCAGCUCCAUUGGGAAAUGAUGCCUUGAAGAGUCAAGCCAACAUGCCAGUUAAUUAUUUGCUGUUGAUGGAGGAACACUGUCUUGUACUACAGGGAAAUGAGGAGCCAUACCGACCCUUCUUGCGUGAGCGGAGGGCACUGAACCCAGCCUGCGUGGGGAGAGAGCCUCUUCUGCUCUGCAUUUACCUCUGCUGUUCCCGGUGAGCUGCAGAGGGACGUUCCCCAGAAACACAGAUGUUAUGCUUCUCAUCCUGCCCUGUGGCUUUCAGGGCGGGUCCCUCUUCCGAGGUUCAGCUCUUUGGCCACUGAGCACAGUAAACAUCGUAGGGGAUGUCAUUCCACAGGAAACCUCAGAGGCCAUUCCCAUCCAAGCCCUAGCUGUGAAGCACAGUGCUUCUUACUUCCUGAUUCCAUACCCCCGUUCUCUGCUGCAUUCAUGUGUAUCACUCACUCAGCUGGCAGGCUCCACGUGCGGGGAAAAAUAUUGUAUUCCUUGGGGAAGAGUUUGAGCAUGCGGUUGAGGUUGCGAGCCAACAAAUCCUUCCGGCAGAUCUCAAUCAUGCCAGGAAAAUGGUUGAUUUUCUGAAAGAGGUGCAGAAGAAAAAGAGAGUUGUCAGUGAUAAUCCUUGAGGUCAAGGAAAGGCAGUGUAUGGAGAAACAAGCACGCAGAACAGGAAGCCAGGCCAGUUGUUGCCUUGAACGCCUGCUGAAGGACAAGAGUUCGCCAACUGCCUUAUCUGACUUCAGCAGCGUGAUUUAUCUACUCAUUCCAUCUCAGCCCUGAAGCUCUGCCUUCCUACAGUAUUGCAGCUUCUGAAAGGGAGCAGCUUGUCAGCAAGAGCCAUUUAUUUCACUCUACAUUCAAGGGGCUGGCAGCCUUCCAGCUCCCCACUGACUGUCAGGCUGUUACUGAUGGCAUCACUGCAGACACAACAGAAGCAGCGACUGAUGAACCCGCGCAUCUGGGACCAACACACAGAACGUGGGGCACAAGCGCUACUUUUAGACAAAUCGGUUUUGUUCUGCAACACUUUGUUCCACUAACAGCUCCGUCUCGUCCUCCUGUCCUGAGCUCUUCCUGCUGGGCACCCCCUCUCCAUGGGGAACUUACCUGAAACCGCUUCAUUUCCAUCACACGUUCCAGAGAGACAGAGCAGUCAGUCCAGUACACCGUCCACUCCUCGUUUUCUCCCGCUUCUCUCAGCCCGCAGCACAGCGCAGCACGACGCACUGCGUGGAAGGAAGCACAGGCAAAGGUCCAGGGAGGAGGAUACGAAUGCCAGGGAUGGUUAAAUCCCCAGAGUAAACAGGAGGGUGGGCAAAACUCUUCAAGCUGCACUGCCAGCCCCAGGGAUGACAAGGUCUAAGCAGGACCCUUCAGAAGACCUCAGAAACACAAACUCUAUCAGCUAAAUUCAACACAGCCUCUGCCUGCAGGUGCACUGGGAACCAUCGGCCUGCAAGUCCACUUGCCUUGGGGUUCCAGAACAUCCCCUGCAUUACAGCAGGCUUGAAUCCACCCUGGGUUUGAUGCCACACAGCUAAAUACAGGUCUUUGAAAGGUGUUGGUUUCACCUUCAAAAUCAAAGGCUAAUUGGUAGCAGAAUGCAUGAGCUUUGGAGUGGAAGGCUGUUGCUGCAAUGAUCAGUGUCGGUGCCAAUUCUGAAUUUGCCCUCUUACACAGCUGGCGAGCUGAUGAACGAACCACGUGUGAAACAGAAGCAGGUUAGGAAACACAGGGGGCAGCUCUAAGUCAGAGGCCUCUGUCUUUCCACACACCCACAGCCAGGUGGCCAGAACUGCCCAACAGCCCACAUGCUAUUGAGGCCGUUUGGGCCCUCCUCCAUCACAACCCUGCCACCUUGCAUUGGCUGUUGCCUUGUUGCUUAUUCUGGGCUGACCAGCUCGGCCCAGCAGCACCACAAAGAGCAGCCCUGGGCACCACAGCUCUGGAGGUGGGCAUGAAACUGUCCUGGUUCCUAUGGAGCUCACAUUGCCACACCAUGUUCUGUCGUGGAUCCUCAUCCACCUCCCAUCACCAAAGCUCCUGAGCAUGGCCGCAGGUGAAACACGUGUCGCUCUGGGUGAAAACAGCAUUCCUCACACAGCUGACAAGGCUGUGACCUUCAGCAAUGCAAACACAGUAGUAAUGCUAGAGUAGUCAUUAGCAAAUUGACUAAUAACAUCCAUCAAAUCGUUCUUUUGAGAAAUAGCUUGUGGCAGCAAAGAAGAGCGAGACAGGAGCCUGAAGCAGCUGCCUAGAGCACGUCAUUGCAGAGGAAUAUCAAAGAGAUAUCGCAGCUACUGAUCCAGCCUGCUGCACCGCCUGCUUCAACUUAAACUGUUUGUAGCUUUCACUCCAUUUUCACAAGCACUGCUACCAUCCUGCACUGUAACUGCCUCCAGCCAAACCCUUCUCACCAAUUUUAGCAGGAGUGUGGCACAUACAGGAACGGAGGGUGGUGAGGGCUUGCAAUGCUGCUGUGCAGCUUGGGUCUCUUUAAAGCACAAAGCUCCUCAGCCCACAGUGGAGAAUAUUCACAGGGAUCCAAGUCGCUCACAAGCAGUAAACACAUAACACAGAGGUGACUCUGCAGUGGAAAUUCAAUACCAGCCCACCUCGCCAGCUGAACCUGCACGGCUUGCUGCAGGCUGGCUCCAUCCUUGGGGCCGCAUCCUCGGACUUACCGCUCUCGUACUUGCAGCUGCUCAGGUUAAUGGAUGGGAUGCUGGAGUUGAAAGAGACGACACAAGAGCUGCUCAGUGAGGCGACCAGCCCAAGGGGAGUGGGCACAAAGGAGACAACUGUCCACCACACCCGCACACCCCACAGAGCCAACUACCAAGUCCGGCCCGUCGCCACGGGCCGUGAGGCAGA
This is a long non-coding RNA of Centrocercus urophasianus (Greater sage-grouse), 8032 nucleotides long. RefSeq lists it as uncharacterized. NCBI's taxonomy places the organism in Eukaryota, Metazoa, Chordata, Aves, Galliformes, Phasianidae. The record is from RefSeq and is a predicted model, not a curated record. The transcript has 4 exons.